GAUGAACGCUAGCUACAGGCUUAACACAUGCAAGUCGAGGGGCAGCGCAGUGUAGCAAUACAUGGGCGGCGACCGGCGCACGGGUGCGUAACGCGUAUCCAACCUUCCCGUUACUCUCGGAUAGCCUUCCGAAAGGGAGAUUAAUACGAGAUGGUGUUGAAAUUCCGCAUGUUAUUUCAACUAAAGAUUCAUCGGUAAUGGAUGGGGAUGCGUGACAUUAGGUAGAUGGCGGGGUAACGGCCCACCAUGCCCACGAUGUCUAGGGGUUCUGAGAGGAAGGUCCCCCACACUGGAACUGAGACACGGUCCAGACUCCUACGGGAGGCAGCAGUGAGGAAUAUUGGUCAAUGGCCGGAAGGCUGAACCAGCCAAGUAGCGUGAAGGAUGAAGGUUCUAUGGAUUGUAAACUUCUUUUAUACGGGAAUAAAACCGCCUACGUGUAGGUGCUUGUAUGUACCGUAUGAAUAAGCAUCGGCUAACUCCGUG
Molecule: ribosomal RNA, 486 nt
Filed under: uncultured bacterium
Lineage: Bacteria
Description: bacterial SSU rRNA
Rfam family: Bacterial small subunit ribosomal RNA
Source: RNAcentral